GAUGAAGAACGUAGCGAAAUGCGAUAAGUAAUGUGAAUUGCAGAAUUCAGUGAAUCAUCGAAUCUUUGAACGCAUCUUGCGCUCCUUGGUAUUCUGAGGAGCAUGCCUGUUUGAGUGUCAUUAAAUUCUCAACUACACUGACUUUGAAUUGGUGUGGCUUGGAUUUGGGGGGAAAAUUGUUGUGGGCUUUUUGUAUAGUCUGCUCCCCUGAAAUUGAUUAGCGGUACCUUUGUGGAACUGUCUACAGGUGUGAUAAUUAUCUACAUCUUAGACAUCUGCUGAAAUGCUGCUUUCUAAACCUUACUUGUAUUGACAAUCUUGACCUCAAAUCAGGUAGGACUACCCGCUGAACUUAAGCAUAUCAAUAAGCGGAGGA
This 376-nucleotide unclassified non-coding RNA is filed under the name soil metagenome. RNAcentral's name for it is "partial contains 5.8S ribosomal RNA, internal transcribed spacer 2, and large subunit ribosomal RNA". The stretch from base 1 to 120 matches the Rfam family "5.8S ribosomal RNA", at positions 35 to 154 of the family's 154-position model. The record is from RNAcentral.